This 305-nucleotide ribosomal RNA is filed under the name uncultured bacterium. Its description in RNAcentral is "partial 16S ribosomal RNA". It matches the Rfam family "Bacterial small subunit ribosomal RNA", at positions 508 to 807 of the family's 1533-position model. The record is from RNAcentral.
ACAGCAGUCGCCGCGGGAAUACGUAGGUGGCAAGCGUUGUCCGGAAUUAUUGGGCGUAAAGGGCUCGCAGGCGGUUUCUUAAGUCUGAUGUGAAAGCCCCCGGCUCGACCGGGGAGGGUCAUUGGAAACUAGGAAACUUGAGUGCAGAAGAGGAGAGUGGAAUUCCACGUGUAGCGGUGAAAUGCGUAGAGAUGUGGGGGAACACCAGUGGCGAAGGCGACUCUCUGGUCUGUAACUGACGCUGAGGAGCGAAAGCGUGGGGAGCGAACAGGAUUAGAGACCCCCGUAGUCCCUGUCUCUUAUAC